UACGGCCAUAUCACGAUUAAACACCGGUUCCCUAACGAUCACCGAAGUUAAGAAACGUGGAGCUUGAUCAGUACCUAGGUGGGUGACCGUCUGGGAAUAUCAGGUGCUGUAAG
Non-coding RNA from Acanthosepion pharaonis, 113 nucleotides. NCBI's taxonomy places the organism in Eukaryota, Metazoa, Mollusca, Cephalopoda, Sepiida, Sepiidae. The record is from the annotation of a GenBank genome assembly.